CUAUGAUGAUUGCAUAUUAAACUCUCCACUUUAUUAAGACCUUCUUAGCAUUUGUGUUUUAUGUCCUGCCAGGUACCAAAAUUCAUCCUCAAUAUGAUGGAGUGACACAAAUUCCAGAUUAUGCAGAUUACACCUUUGACUAUGACGGUAAUUCAACAUUCAGUUAUGAGAUGUAUGAAAUUCUCAGUCAAGGAAAAGAAACAGCACCUGGCAGUAACGUGAACAAGCUGGCUUCAAAAACAGCACAUGGAUUCUAUGCUGUACUACUGGGACUGACAGUACAACAGUUCUGCCUACAAAUAUGAAUGGGGCUGCACAACAAAGGAUCUGAAGCCACAGCGAGAGACCAGUCUAGAUGUCCAGGCAAUUUACCAGAGGAUGCACCAUUUCCUUCCUUCUUAAUCUUCAUAUUAUACAUAAGGUUAUUUUUUACUUGUACAUAAAUAUUCAACACAAUUGCAUCAACUCAAAGAGUAUAUCAGCCCCCUGAAACCUGAAGCUGCAAUCUUUCUAUUUUUCACUGACACCAUGAGCUGGCUUUCUGCAAAUGGAUUAAGCCUAGUCCUCUUUAUAUAGGUUCCAUGCUGAAUGGAGAUUCUCCAUGGUAAGGAAAA
Long non-coding RNA from Pygocentrus nattereri (red-bellied piranha), 614 nucleotides. The record is from Ensembl. NCBI's taxonomy places the organism in Eukaryota, Metazoa, Chordata, Actinopteri, Characiformes, Serrasalmidae.